RNAcentral lists this ribosomal RNA (497 nucleotides) under uncultured bacterium. Its description in RNAcentral is "partial 16S ribosomal RNA". It matches the Rfam family "Bacterial small subunit ribosomal RNA", at positions 28 to 507 of the family's 1533-position model. The record is from RNAcentral.
GAUGAACGCUGGCGGCGUGCCUAAUACAUGCAAGUCGAGCGAACGGACGAGAAGCUUGCUUCUCUGAUGUUAGCGGCGGACGGGUGAGUAACACGUGGAUAACCUACCUAUAAGACUGGGAUAACUUCGGGAAACCGGAGCUAAUACCGGAUAAUAUUUUGAACCGCAUGGUUCAAAAGUGAAAGACGGUCUUGCUGUCACUUAUAGAUGGAUCCGCGCUGCAUUAGCUAGUUGGUAAGGUAACGGCUUACCAAGGCAACGAUGCAUAGCCGACCUGAGAGGAGGGUGAGCCAGACGGGAAGUGAGACACGGUCGAGACUGCAACUGGAAGCAACAGAGGGGAAUCUACCACGAAAGGGGAAAGUCAGACAGAGCAUGGCGACGUGAGAGAUGAAGGUAUACGGGUGGUAGACGGCUGUAAGUAGGGAAGAACAUGAGUGAAUGAGAAAGGUGAGAUCUUGACGGAACAUAAGAAGAAUGCAGAGGCUAACUACGUG